Molecule: ribosomal RNA, 425 nt
Filed under: uncultured bacterium
Lineage: Bacteria
Description: partial 16S ribosomal RNA
Rfam family: Bacterial small subunit ribosomal RNA
Source: RNAcentral
GUAGGGAAUAUUGGACAAUGGGCGAAAGCCUGAUCCAGCAAUGCCGCGUGAGUGAUGAAGGCCUUAGGGUUGUAAAGCUCUUUUACCAGGGAUGAUAAUGACAGUACCUGGAGAAUAAGCUCCGGCUAACUCCGUGCCAGCAGCCGCGGUAAUAAGGAGGGAGCUAGCGUCGUUCGGAAUUACUGGGCGUAAAGCGCGCGUAGGCGGCGAUUUAAGUCAGAGGUGAAAGCCCGGGGCUCAACCCCGGAAUAGCCUUUGAGACUGGAUUGCUAGAAUCCUGGAGAGGUGAGUGGAAUUCCGAGUGUAGAGGUGAAAUUCGUAGAUAUUCGGAAGAACACCAGUGGCGAAGGCGGCUCACUGGACAGGUAUUGACGCUGAGGUGCGAAAGCGUGGGGAGCAAACAGGAUUAGAUACCCGAGUAGUCC